Molecule: ribosomal RNA, 468 nt
Filed under: uncultured bacterium
Lineage: Bacteria
Description: partial 16S ribosomal RNA
Rfam family: Bacterial small subunit ribosomal RNA
Source: RNAcentral
GACGAACGCUGGCGGCGUGCUUAACACAUGCAAGUCGAACGGAAAGGCCCUGCUUUUGUGGGGUGCUCGAGUGGCGAACGGGUGAGUAACACGUGAGUAACCUGCCCUUGACUUUGGGAUAACUUCAGGAAACUGGGGCUAAUACCGGAUAGGAGCUCCUGCUGCAUGGUGGGGGUUGGAAAGUUUCGGCGGUUGGGGAUGGACUCGCGGCUUAUCAGCUUGUUGGUGGGGUAGUGGCUUACCAAGGCUUUGACGGGUAGCCGGCCUGAGAGGGUGACCGGCCCCAUUGGGACUGAGAUGCGGCACAGACUCCUACGGGAGGCAGCAGUGGGGAAUAUUGCACUAUGGGCGGAAGCCUGAUGCAGCAACGCCGCGCGCGGGAUGACGGCCUUCGGGUUGUAUACCGCUUUCGCCUGUGACGAAGCGUGAGUGACGGUAAUGGGUAAAGAAGCACCGGCUAACUACGUG